CGAUUUUUGAUGGGAUUUUCCGGGUUCGCUGGGAUUUUCGCGUGAAGAAGACGAAGACGAGUAUGGGCAGUUGGGUCGGGGUACUUUUGACGCCACUUCUCCUUGGGAAGAAGACGUUGUUCUCACGUGGAGAAGAAGAAGAGGCGAAGUGGGGUCAUUGUAAGCUACUGCUGAACCAUUUUUUUCUCACUUGCUUUGCUUUUCGAGGUUUUUUCGGCCAGGAAGAGAACGCAGUGCUUAGUUUGGUG
This 248-nucleotide unclassified non-coding RNA is filed under the name Hevea brasiliensis (rubber tree). Lineage: Eukaryota; Viridiplantae; Streptophyta; Magnoliopsida; Malpighiales; Euphorbiaceae. The record is from RNAcentral.